GCACUUUGGAAGAGAGUUAAACAGUACGUGAAAUUGCUAAAAGGGAAACGCUUGAAGUCAGUCGCGUCGUCCGGAACUCAGCUUUGCUUCGGCUUAGUGCACUUUCCGGUUGACGGGCCGCAUCGAUUUUGACCGCUGAAAGGGCUGGAGGAAUGUGGCACCUUCGGGUGUGUUAUAGCCUUCAGUCGCAUACAGCGGUUGGGAUCGAGGAACGCAGCGGG
RNAcentral lists this ribosomal RNA (221 nucleotides) under Trametes versicolor. Its description in RNAcentral is "partial large subunit ribosomal RNA". Lineage: Eukaryota; Fungi; Basidiomycota; Agaricomycetes; Polyporales; Polyporaceae. The record is from RNAcentral.